CGCCUAGUUUUCCCACAGCCAGAUUUGUCGAGCCAUGUGUGUAUAUAUAUAUAUAUAUAUAUAUAUAUAUAUAUAUAUAUACACACAUGGCUCGACAAAUCUGGCUGUGGGAAAACUAGGCGG
RNAcentral lists this microRNA precursor (123 nucleotides) under Pelobates cultripes (western spadefoot toad). Lineage: Eukaryota; Metazoa; Chordata; Amphibia; Anura; Pelobatidae. The record is from RNAcentral.